Molecule: ribosomal RNA, 253 nt
Filed under: uncultured bacterium
Lineage: Bacteria
Description: partial 16S ribosomal RNA
Rfam family: Bacterial small subunit ribosomal RNA
Source: RNAcentral
UACGUAGGGGGCAAGCGUUGUCCGGAAUCAUUGGGCGUAAAGAGCGCGUAGGCGGUCCGGUAAGUCAGCUGUAAAAGUCAAGGGCUCAACCCUUGAAUGCCGGUUGAUACUGUCGGGCUAGAGUCCGGAAGAGGCGAGUGGAAUUCCCGGUGUAGCGGUGAAAUGCGUAGAUAUCUGGAGGAACACCGGUGGCGAAGGCGGCAUCCUGGACCGACAUUGACGCUGAGGCGCGAAAGCCAGGGGAGCAAACGGG